AUCUCUACCUUCGUCUCCUCUCCUUCUUUUCUUCUACUUUUUAUCUCUCUACUUGUCACUCUUUUUCUCUCCUCCUCUUUUUUUUCCACCUCUACCUCCUCCCAUUGCUACUUUUCUUGCCUUAGCUCCUACCCCACUUACUCUCCCUCUUCGCUUGUUCUCUUUCACCAUUGUUGGCUGCCUCCUCUACCUCCAUCUCCUCUCUUUUCUUUCCAUUCCUUUAAGCUCUCCACCUGAUGCUCCUUCAUUUCCUCCUUGGCCCCUUGCGCAAUGUCACCUCCUCCCCCAGCUGCACUAAUAUUUGGUUGGUUUUUGUCCAUCCUAGCUGUGGCAAAGUAGAUCAAUUAAUUAUAAUUAUUUAUUUUGGUUAUAAGCAAAUAAAUCUACCACAGCUAGUUAGCUUCCUUUUCUAUUUAGGAGAGAUUAACGUAUUGAGGCUUGGUCUCAAUGUAGCUAUGCUGGGUCACUAUAUUUCCUUAAAAGAUCUAAAUGAUCGAGAACAUAUAUAGAACAUAAUAAUUUCAUAUUCCAAUCUACAUGAAAAUCCACCCAUUGGGUUGUGUGAUAUUGCGGUUUAACUCAUGAAUUAUUUCAAUAUAGUAAUCAAUUCAUUAAUGUAGACUAAAAGUUUCAAUAUUAUUACCCUUAGUUUUGAUAUCGUUGAAUACACUAACUUGG
This 678-nucleotide long non-coding RNA is filed under the name Elaeis guineensis (African oil palm). RNAcentral's name for it is "long non-coding RNA (EGUI_LNC016814)". Lineage: Eukaryota; Viridiplantae; Streptophyta; Magnoliopsida; Arecales; Arecaceae. The record is from RNAcentral.